ACAUGCAAGUCGAACGGUAACGCGGGGGCAACCCUGGCGACGAGUGGCGGACGGGUGAGUAAUGCUUAGGAAUCUGCCCAUCAGGUGGGGGACAACCCGGGGAAACCCGGGCUAAUACCGCAUAAGUCCUACGGGAGAAAGCGGGGGACCGCAAGGCCUCGCGCUGAUGGAUGAGCCUAAGUCCGAUUAGCUAGUUGGUAGGGUAACGGCCUACCAAGGCGACGAUCGGUAGCUGGUCUGAGAGGAUGAUCAGCCACACUGGGACUGAGACACGGCCCAGACUCC
Molecule: ribosomal RNA, 285 nt
Filed under: unidentified marine bacterioplankton
Lineage: Bacteria
Description: partial 16S ribosomal RNA
Rfam family: Bacterial small subunit ribosomal RNA
Source: RNAcentral